Molecule: ribosomal RNA, 489 nt
Filed under: uncultured bacterium
Lineage: Bacteria
Description: bacterial SSU rRNA
Rfam family: Bacterial small subunit ribosomal RNA
Source: RNAcentral
GACGAACGCUGGCGGCGUGCCUAACACAUGCAAGUCGAACGGAGUGUUUAUUUAUAAACACUUAGUGGCGAACGGGUGAGUAACGCGUAGACAACCUACCCUCUAGAUGGGGACAACACCGCGAAAGUGGUGCUAAUACCGAAUGUUGUAAUGUUGUUGCAUAAUGAUAUUACUAAAGGUGGCCUCUAUAUAAAAGCUACCGCUAGAAGAUGGGUCUGCGUCUGAUUAGCUAGUUGGUGAGAUAACAGCUCACCAAGGCAAUGAUCAGUAGCCGGUCUGAGAGGAUGAACGGCCACACUGGGACUGAGACACGGCCCAGACUCCUACGGGAGGCAGCAGUGGGGAAUCUUCCGCAAUGGACGAAAGUCUGACGGAGCAACGCCGCGUGAGUGAAGAAGGUUUUCGGAUCGUAAAGCUCUGUCUUCAAGGACGAAUGUAGAUAUUGUGAAUAAUGAUAUUUAAUGACGGUACUUGAGGAGGAAGCCACGG